This 504-nucleotide ribosomal RNA is filed under the name Triticum aestivum (bread wheat). RNAcentral's name for it is "partial small subunit ribosomal RNA". The record is from RNAcentral. Lineage: Eukaryota; Viridiplantae; Streptophyta; Magnoliopsida; Poales; Poaceae.
AUGGGCUUUGGCAUACACACAUCUGCUUCAAAGAACAGCCAAAAGAAGGGGCCUGCGGUACUAAUCAAGAGGGUGUUCCGGUGUGUCCAUGACGGGAAGCCCGAGAAUAAGACCGAUAUUAGCAGUGCUUCGGAAGCAAUCUCAAUGGAACAACACUCAUCAAGCAAAGAAUCUUGGUUUGAGAUGGAUGUCACAAACAAGCGUCAGAAAAAUAGAUUGGUCCAUCAUGAUUGCAAAGCACACUUGAUAGUUGGGCUGCGGGGCAAUAAACGGGUUGUUUCAUAUUUCGUUACAGAGCAUACCCACCAUCUGAUGCCACAGCCAGAGUGUGUACAAUUCUACCGCUCACACCACAACAUUCCGCAAGAGGAUUUGGACCUCAUAUUGACAAUGCAUGAUGUGAACUUCUUCACAUCAUCGUGCAUGGGAAUGCUUGGGAGGGUUCGUGGUGGAGACCGGAGGAUGCUGCCAUACGUCAAGAAGGAUGUUACAAAUUUUCUUUGA